This 674-nucleotide ribosomal RNA is filed under the name Semiricinula tissoti. RNAcentral describes it as "Thais tissoti partial 16S ribosomal RNA". The stretch from base 1 to 512 matches the Rfam family "Bacterial large subunit ribosomal RNA", at positions 1944 to 2925 of the family's 2925-position model. Lineage: Eukaryota; Metazoa; Mollusca; Gastropoda; Neogastropoda; Muricidae. The record is from RNAcentral.
GACCGUGCAAAGGUAGCAUAAUCAUUUGCCUUAUAAUUGAAGGCUAGUAUGAAUGGUUUGACGAGAAUUAAGCUGUCUCUUUUUGACUAAAUAUAAUUUUAUUAAUAGGUGAAGAAGCCUAUUUUUUAUUGAAAGACAAGAAGACCCUAUCGAGCUUUAAAAAUUUUAGUAGGCUUUACGCUAUAUUUAUAGAAAAACAAGACUACUAAGAACUUUGGUUGGGGCGACUGAGGAACAAAAAAAGCUUCCUUUAUCUAAUAAAAUACCAACAAGUAUUGAUCCAAUACAUUUGAUUAAAGGAAUUAGUUACCGUAGGGAUAACAGCAUAAUCCUCUUUGAGAGUUCUUAUCGAAAAGGGGGUUUGUGACCUCGAUGUUGGACCAGAAUAUCCUGAAGAUGCAGCCGUCUUCAAUGGUUGGUCUGUUCGACCAUUAAAAUUCUACGUGAUCUGAGUUCAGACCGGCGUGAGCCAGGUCAGUUUCUAUCUUCAAUUUUUAAGAUGGCCUUAGUACGAAAGGACCAGGCUAUUACAAAAGUAAUUUGUAACAUUUAGAUUAAAUAUAAAAACCAAUUAAACUUGUAAGUAUCAAAUUAGCAAAGAUUAAUGCAAUUGACUUAGGAUCAAUAGACAUAGGUGAAACCCCUUUAUUUGAUAAAUAAAGAUGGCAGAAAAA